GCCGGAGUGGUGGAAUGGUAGACACGCACGACUCAAAAUCGUGUGGGGCAACCCGUGGGAGUUCAAGUCUCCCCUCCGGCACCA
RNAcentral lists this transfer RNA (84 nucleotides) under Candidatus Vogelbacteria bacterium GWA1_51_14. RNAcentral's name for it is "tRNA-Leu". It matches the Rfam family "tRNA". Rfam says of the family: Transfer RNA (tRNA) molecules are approximately 80 nucleotides in length. Lineage: Bacteria; Candidatus Vogeliibacteriota. The record is from RNAcentral.